Non-coding RNA from Paramuricea clavata, 1285 nucleotides. Lineage: Eukaryota; Metazoa; Cnidaria; Anthozoa; Malacalcyonacea; Plexauridae. The record is from the annotation of a GenBank genome assembly.
AGUACAUUUGAGUUACUGAGCUAAACUUCAGCAAGUCCCGUAUUGUAAUAUAAAUAUGGCUGUGUCGUUAUCUGACCAAUAUGUCCUGUUUAUAUACUACAAAACGUCGGCCAGGAGAACAGGCUCUUACGAGAACAGUUAAUAUUAAAGACGACUAUAAACGAGACGAAGUUGUCCAUCGAAGAUAUGAAGGUUGAUAAAAUGGACAAUUUGUCAAACAGAACUGCGAGACACGUUGCCAAAGCUAUGCAGGGUAAGCAUUUGUACUUAUAUCUGAUAAAUUGUGUAUACAUGUCAUUUCAAUGGUAUAGAACGCUCUGAUUUAAUGAAAGUUUAGGCUCCUAAAAUAAUUGCGCCAAAUAUUCAAAGGCUAAUUCAAGAUUGCUGAACUCAGUCAUAGAUGCUGGUUAAUAAUUUAUUACAUGCAAAUCACUGCUAAAAAUACUACAGUAUAUACCCCAUUUACUGUAUAAAUAUUAUAGAACCCUUGUCUUUGCCCUUGGCAGGCAAAACGUGCAAGUUAUGUUUACGCAAUAUAUUUCUGAUCUGCACUGUUGUGUUAUGCCUGACUCAGGGAGGACAGGCAUACCUAGGGGAAUUUGACAGUUUCAAUUUUGCUACUGUAUGUAUGACAAUAAGCUCCACUGCAGAGCACCACUUUUUAGUCAAUCUUUGUCAAAUUUUCCCCUAUUAAGAAAUUUCAAGUUGCGAGAACUCGAGUCAAUUCCUGUGUAUGCCAUCCUUCUCCAGGCGGACAAAACAUUGCUUCGUGCAUUAUUCCAAAGUGCAUAUCACAAUCACAAAACUCUUCACAGCCUAGGUUAACAAGGCAAGGAUUAAGUGUCUAUUGUACUAUAGUGUACCUAGUGCUGUAUUUCAUAUAUGGAGGCAGACCAGCCCAGGUAUCCAAGCAAGUAACAAGGCACCCAGACUGGCCACAGCCUACUACAGUUGAGGUAGGCCAUUACGCUUGGGCAGGUCAGUUCAGUUCUCAUGUUAUCGCAAGAUUAAAUUGGACAAUUGACAAGAAAUAAUACCAAAUGUGGUGUCUCUCCAAAACCAGACCAGCUCGGGUACCCUGGCUUCUCUUUCUUGCUUGCGAAAUGUGAAUUUACUUUUUGUGUUAAAUUUCUUGAGGCACUAUUAAAGCUGUGUACAGUGUAAAAUAGCAUAGUAAGUGCACCAGGAGGGAUUGUGCCUUAAUGGUUUAACAUAUAUCUAUUUUUUAUAGGAUUAUGUUCGUCGUAAACUGAAAGCAUUGAAUGCUUAUGAGAGUAAUCUAGCA